RNAcentral lists this ribosomal RNA (354 nucleotides) under Triticum aestivum (bread wheat). RNAcentral describes it as "partial small subunit ribosomal RNA". Lineage: Eukaryota; Viridiplantae; Streptophyta; Magnoliopsida; Poales; Poaceae. The record is from RNAcentral.
AUGGUCUUGGACGAACUUGUCAAGCAAGGUUCAUCUGGCUCUGCUUCAUCCACCAACAAAAAAUUGUCUCCUCCUACAAAGGUUGACCAUACCACUUUGACAAUUUCUGCAAGAAUGAUUCUUGAUAUUAUGUUGGAGUAUCUUGGGAUUCCUAAAGCUAUUUAUCAGAGAAGGAUCUACUCGCAGAACACAAUAUCUGUCACUAUACUUUUCUAUACCUCUACUCACAGCGCUGGUGCUUCUCCAUCACAAAUGAUUAUUACAGGGGUUCGAUCUGCCAACGAAGAGAUAGCAGAGGAUCCCGCUGCGGUGGAGGCUUUAGAUACAUGGAACGCGCUACAGGUGUUGUUGUGA